This 73-nucleotide transfer RNA is filed under the name Patescibacteria group bacterium. RNAcentral's name for it is "tRNA-Thr". It matches the Rfam family "tRNA". Rfam says of the family: Transfer RNA (tRNA) molecules are approximately 80 nucleotides in length. Their secondary structure includes four short double-helical elements and three loops (D, anti-codon, and T loops). Further hydrogen bonds mediate the characteristic L-shaped molecular structure. tRNAs have two regions of fundamental functional importance: the anti-codon, which is responsible for specific mRNA codon recognition, and the 3' end, to which the tRNAs corresponding amino acid is attached (by aminoacyl-tRNA synthetases). tRNAs cope with the degeneracy of the genetic code in two manners: having more than one tRNA (with a specific anti-codon) for a particular amino acid; and 'wobble' base-pairing, i.e. permitting non-standard base-pairing at the 3rd anti-codon position. The record is from RNAcentral.
GCCGCCUUAGCUCAGCUGGUAGAGCACCACCCUUGUAACGUGGAUGUCCCCGGUUCGAUCCCGGGAGGCGGCU